UGAGGAAUAUUGCGCAAUGGGGGAAACCCUGACGCAGCGAUGCCGCGUGGGUGAAGAAGGCCUUCGGGUCGUAAAGCCCUGUCAAACGGGAAGAACAGUCUGGAGACGAAUAAUCUUCAGGCCUGACGGUACCGUUGAAGGAAGCACCGGCUAACUCCGUGCCAGCAGCCGCGGUAAGACGGAGGGUGCAAGCGUUAUUCGGAUUUAUUGGGCGUAAAGAGCAUGUAGGCGGUCGGUCAAGUCUGAUGUGAAAUCCCGGGGCUUAACCUCGGAAGGGCGUUGGAAACUGGUCGACUUGAGUUCGGGAGAGGAAAGCGGAAUUCCGGGUGUAGAGGUGAAAUUCGUAGAUAUCCGGAGGAACACCGGUGGCGAAGGCGGCUUUCUGGACCGAAACUGACGCUGAGAUGCGAAAGCGUGGGGAGCAAACAGG
RNAcentral lists this ribosomal RNA (430 nucleotides) under uncultured Desulfobacca sp. RNAcentral describes it as "bacterial SSU rRNA". It matches the Rfam family "Bacterial small subunit ribosomal RNA", at positions 355 to 776 of the family's 1533-position model. Lineage: Bacteria; Pseudomonadati; Thermodesulfobacteriota; Desulfobaccia; Desulfobaccales; Desulfobaccaceae. The record is from RNAcentral.